Molecule: long non-coding RNA, 449 nt
Filed under: Mytilus galloprovincialis (Mediterranean mussel)
Lineage: Eukaryota; Metazoa; Mollusca; Bivalvia; Mytilida; Mytilidae
Source: RNAcentral
CGAGUACCCGCUUAACGAAAUGCCCGUGCACCGUUAAUAAAGUACAGUAACUGUCAAAUAUACUAGGAACGAAAUAAUAUGUAUAUUCAUUAUACAAAACCAGGAGUUAAAAAAGAAUUCCAAAUUUUAUGUCGCAGGAGAUUCAAAUUUUAAUUCAAGUAGUUGAGAAAAUAAAAUCUUUACUAUUUAGCAUACUGAGAAACACAACAAAUAUUUGUAUUGCAAUUAACAUGAAAUUAUACAUGAAAAGUGAUUAAAAUUUUAGUUGACAAUCAUAAGACCAUCAUAAGUCAUGUCGCGAGGGGUCUUAAUUUUACGACAAAAGUUAUGACAAAUCGUAACUUGGGACACUUUCGAAAACAUAUCUUACGACUAUGACAUGUCAUAAGACCAUCAUAAGACAUGUCUUAGUCAUAAGAUACUUUCGAAAACCAGGCCCCAGGAUUUUA